Molecule: ribosomal RNA, 425 nt
Filed under: uncultured bacterium
Lineage: Bacteria
Description: partial 16S ribosomal RNA
Rfam family: Bacterial small subunit ribosomal RNA
Source: RNAcentral
GUGGGGAAUAUUGGGCAAUGGGCGAAAGCCUGACCCAGCAACGCCGCGUGAAGGAAGAAGGUUUUCGGAUCGUAAACUUCUAUCCUUGGUGAAGAUAAUGACGGUAGCCAAGAAGGAAGCCCCGGCUAACUACGUGCCAGCAGCCGCGGUAAUACGUAGGGGGCAAGCGUUGUCCGGAAUGAUUGGGCGUAAAGGGCGCGUAGGCGGCCCGGUAAGUCUGAAGUGAAAGUCCUGCUUUUAAGGUGGGAAUUGCUUUGGAUACUGUCGGGCUUGAGUGCAGGAGAGGUAAGCGGAAUUCCCGGUGUAGUGGUGAAAUGCGUAGAGAUCGGGAGGAACACCAGUGGCGAAGGCGGCUUACUGGACUGUAACUGACGCUGAGGCGCGAAAGUGUGGGGAGCAAACAGGAUUAGAAACCCCUGUAGUCC